CUUUUCCAUUCUUUGCUACAGUUACUAUGGUCCAUGGUCUUCUUAAAGCAUUUGUAUAUUUUGUUUUUCAUGUAAAACAACAUUGGGCUUCAUUGAGAUGACUUGUAAAAAGGUCCUGAAAACCUAAGUUUAUGGUAUAAUGAGGAAUGG
Lutra lutra (Eurasian river otter) is the source of this 150-nucleotide long non-coding RNA. RefSeq lists it as uncharacterized. NCBI's taxonomy places the organism in Eukaryota, Metazoa, Chordata, Mammalia, Carnivora, Mustelidae. The record is from RefSeq and is a predicted model, not a curated record. The transcript is spliced from 2 exons.